AAAACUGGCGCGUCCACAAGUAUGGGUGGUUUGGGAGGUGGUUAUGGGUUAUGGGUGAUAUGGGGUGGUUAUGGGUGUUAUGGGUAUGGGGUAUAUGGGGUGGUUAUGGGGUUAUGGGGUUAUGGGGUUAUGGGGUGGUUAUGGGGUUAUGGGUGAUAUUGGGGUGGUUAUGGGGUGAUAUGGGGUGGUUAUGGGGUUAUGGGGUGGUUAUGGGGGGAUAUGGGGUGGUUAUGGGGCACUAUGGGGUGGUUAUGGGGCAACUAUUGGCGGUGAUAUGGGGGUGAUUAUGGCGGUGAGUUAUGGGGCGCUAUGGGGUGGUUAUGGGGGGUAUGGGUUGUGAUAUGGGGUGGUUAUGGGGGCGCUAUGGGCGUUGGUUAUGGGUGAUAUGGGG
RNAcentral lists this long non-coding RNA (391 nucleotides) under Coturnix japonica (Japanese quail). RNAcentral describes it as "lncRNA (ENSCJPG00005002296.1)". The record is from RNAcentral. Lineage: Eukaryota; Metazoa; Chordata; Aves; Galliformes; Phasianidae.